Monodelphis domestica (gray short-tailed opossum) is the source of this 1971-nucleotide long non-coding RNA. RefSeq lists it as uncharacterized. NCBI's taxonomy places the organism in Eukaryota, Metazoa, Chordata, Mammalia, Didelphimorphia, Didelphidae. The record is from RefSeq and is a predicted model, not a curated record.
AAGAAACAUGCUACCUCUCCUAAUCCAGAAAGUGAACUGUUUGGAGAAGGUGCCAUGAAGAUUCCUCCACAGGCCACACACUGCACCAGAAAAUCCAGAGUGAACUUUGGGAUGUGGUGAUUUGAACUGUGUGGGGUUGAAUACAUUUGUUUUGUAUGUAUACUCCUAUGCCCAAGGGGACUACUCCCUGAAUGACUUUUUGUCAAUGCACCUAGCAAUCAUUGGUUUUGUUCUCUUUUCCUUUUCUCCUUCAAUUAUUGUAAUUUCAAAGUUGGUUAUGUUUACAAGAUCCAUUGGAGAGACUAGUCUUCCAUGGAUCUCAGGGGAGAAUGUAUAAAUGAAAAUCUAUUACCCUAAAAAAAGAACUACAUUUCCUGGGAGCCAACUGACUUCCUAUCAUUAUGUACUUCCUGUAGACAGAAGAUAUUAGCAAGUGAGUGGUCCUCUUGGGCCUCUUUCUUGGGCUUGCAGCCAGCAUGGUGGAAGUGGUAACUAAGUGUUGGGAUUUUAAAUGGGCUAAUCAGCCAUGGGCACAUAGUCUUUAUUUUGCAUCUUCUUUAUUCCUUGAUUUCUAAUGAUCAUUAAUAAAUCCCUUAAAAUAUAAUAUUUCAUCAUUGAGAUCUAAUUUUAAUUUUUACAAGACUCUCACUCUUAAUCUGUAAUUAAAGAAAUAGAAUGAGUGUUUCCUAAAAGAGGAAUUUUAAGCUCUCAGGAACUAUAUGAAAAAAAACACUCCAAAUCAUUAAUAAUUAUAUACAAAUUAAAACAAAUCUGAGCUUCCACCUCACACCUAUCAGUCUGGCAGAGAUGACAAUUGCUAGAGUUGAUGCAGAAAAAUAGAUAGCCACAUGGGUACAUUGGUGACCAUGGAUAGGACCCACAAUCCCUAAAGUCACUAAACUGUGUAUAGUUUUUGACCCAAUAAUACCACCAGUGUGUUUAUUCUCCAAAGAGAUAAAAUAAAGAGGUAAAGUAGCAAUACAUACAAAAAAUGUUUAUAGUAGCUUUUUUGUUGAAGCAAAGAGCUAGAAAGGGAAUACCCUUCAACUGGGAAAUGGUUGGACAAACUAUGGCGAAUAAAUGUUGGAAUAAUUGGGCUCUCGGAAAGGACUAAAAAAGAUGAUUUGUACGAACUGGUACAGAGUGAAGUGAGAAGAGCUUAGGGAAUAAUUGAUGCAAUAAGAACAUUUUAAAGAAAAACAAGUUUGAAACAUUUAAGAAUUAUCUUCAAUGCAAUUACCACUCAUGAUUCUAGAGGACCAACGUAAAGCCUGCUAGCAACCUCAUGAAAAAACAAUGAGACCCAAAGUAUAGAAUGGUGAAAAUCUUUUUUUGACUUGGGAAAUGUGGAGAUUUGCUUAAUUCUGCUUAAUUUUUACAAGGACUGUUUUGUUGUCAUUUUUUAUUUGGAGAAAAUUUCAAGACUGGGGAGGGGAGCUAUCAAAAAUGUUACAAAAAAUAAAAGACGCCAUUAAAACACUGUUUGAAAUGCUCAAAAAGAAGGAAGUUCACAAAGAAAUACAGAGAAAAAAAAUGAUUGCUCACUACAAUGUAGCUGCUUAUACAAAGGAAAAACAGUGUGUUCCUUGAGGAGAAUGAAGAUCAGAAACUACAGCAGAUAGCAAAGAUGCUGACAAGCGAUUCAAUCUGGAUUAUACAUAUACAUUAUACAUCACGUAUGAUGUUUCCAUAUUGUUCAUUUUUGUAAAUGAGUAAUCUUCUAAAACCAAAACCCCCAAAUGUAAACCCAAAUAAACAACUGAAAAAAUCCUGUGCUUUCCUCUGCAUUCUGACUCCCAGUUCUUUCUCUGGAGGUAGAUAGCAUUCUUUGUCCUAAAUUUCCUCAGAAUUGUCCUGGAUCCUUGUAUUGCUGGUAACACCUAAGUUGAUUACAAUUGAUCAUGCCUCAAAAUUGCUGUUACUUUGUACAAUGCUUUCUUGGUUCUGCUUAUUUCCCUCUGCAUCAGCUCA